Molecule: ribosomal RNA, 253 nt
Filed under: uncultured bacterium
Lineage: Bacteria
Description: partial 16S ribosomal RNA
Rfam family: Bacterial small subunit ribosomal RNA
Source: RNAcentral
UACGUAGGGGGCAAGCGUUAUCCGGAUUUACUGGGUGUAAAGGGAGCGUAGACGGCAGAGCAAGUCUGAAGUGAAAGCCCGCGGCCCAACUGCGGAACUGCUUUGGAAACUGCCCGGCUAGAGUGCUGGAGAGGUAAGCGGAAUUCCUAGUGUAGCGGUGAAAUGCGUAGAUAUUAGGAGGAACACCAGUGGCGAAGGCGGCUUACUGGACAGUAACUGACGUUGAGGCUCGAAAGCGUGGGGAGCAAACAGG